UGUCCGAAAACCGUAAAAAAGAAGGAAAAAAAAAAAGGCUCUGCCAUCACUGCUGGCGCCCCUGGUUAGCAUGGAGGGCUGGAUUGAAAUCACAGGUGUGAGGCCACCUCCAGCCCCCAGUACUGCCACCCUCCGUGCCAGCAGGGAGCCCGCUCCCCGCUCCGCGGUUACUGAGGCGGGGGUGUGCGUGUGAGGGGGCAGCGCGGCCGUUAGCGGGGCAGCCGUUAAGGCCGGGGGCCGCGGCCGUUAGGGCUGAGGGAGCAGCGCGCGGCGCACAGGUGUGCGCGGCGGGGCAGGUGCGGCGGCGGCAUGAGGGCCACCCCCCACACACACACACAGCGCAGUGUCCGUGUCCCCUCGCCGCCGCCGGGCUGGUGGCCGGAGCUCGGCGGUGGUGGGUUUGGAAGCGAGCAGGGAAAGACACCGGGACCGCCUGCUGCAGGCAUCCAUCUGAAAGUAGAGACAGACACGUUUACUGUUUGUAGUGGAACUACACUGGUAUGCAUUUGUAUUUCAACCAUGGUUUUGAGUGGUUGCAAACAAACCACGGGAGUUGCUCAUGGAUGGCUAGAGGCUUCUAUAGACACAUGGAUGGAGACUUUCACAUGCUUCCUAUUUGGUUCAAAUUUGGCACUGCAAAUACAAACACCUGAACUGAACUUUUAAUCUGCUAAGACUAGUACUCCAACGGCGAUAGUUCCUCAGAAAUCACAGAUUUGAAGAAAAUCAAGCAUCAAAUUUCAAGUAUUACCUGGGCUGCUAGCAGUGGUUGUGCAUCUUCCAUUUCAAUUACCGUAUCCUGGCACGGUGCAGCAGAGAGUAGACUAACUAUCAUACUAUCUUCAAGUAAAUACUCAACAUGAGAUGACUCUGUAUGCUGUACUGAACAGUUAACACCAAAGACAAAAUUGCUAUCUGGAAGAUGAAGAUGAGAGAUGACUGCGCUUGCAUUCAGUUACUUUAAAAUUAAACAGUACCUCAACAGCAGUGAGUUGAACUACUGGUCUGAUUCCCUGAGGUACCAUGUAAAGCUUUGGUGCUCUUUGCGAUGGAAGAAUUGGAAGGUUGGUGCCACCCUGUUAAGACAUAAGUACAUAAGUACUAUUUUCUCUCUCCUUCCUUAAAUGAAAUAUCUUGCAAGUAUUAAGACGAUUCUUCAUAUUAUAACUCGCUAUAAAAGUGAGUUAUAAUAUACAUUAUAUACUAUAUA
This is a long non-coding RNA of Anas platyrhynchos (mallard), 1210 nucleotides long. RefSeq lists it as uncharacterized. The record is from RefSeq and is a predicted model, not a curated record. NCBI's taxonomy places the organism in Eukaryota, Metazoa, Chordata, Aves, Anseriformes, Anatidae.